GACGAGUCUCACGAGCGUUAUUCGGAAUUACUGGGCUUAAAGGGUGCGUAGGCGGUGGAGUAAGUCGGAUGUGAAAUACCAUAGCUUAACUAUGGAACUGCACUCGAUACUACUUUGCUAGAGUAAGACAGAGGUGAGUGGAACUGAGGGUGGAGCGGUGAAAUGCGUUGAUAUCCUCAGGAACACCGGUGGCGAAGGCGGGUUGCUGGGCCGACACUGACGCUGAUGCGCGAAAGCCAGGGGAGCGAACGGG
RNAcentral lists this ribosomal RNA (253 nucleotides) under uncultured bacterium. Its description in RNAcentral is "partial 16S ribosomal RNA". It matches the Rfam family "Bacterial small subunit ribosomal RNA", at positions 524 to 776 of the family's 1533-position model. The record is from RNAcentral.